Molecule: ribosomal RNA, 481 nt
Filed under: uncultured bacterium
Lineage: Bacteria
Description: bacterial SSU rRNA
Rfam family: Bacterial small subunit ribosomal RNA
Source: RNAcentral
CUACGUGCCAGCAGCCGCGGUAAUACGUAGGUGGCAAGCGUUGUCCGGAAUUAUUGGGCGUAAAGCGCGCGCAGGCGGAUCAGUCAGUCUGUCUUAAAAGUUCGGGGCUUAACCCCGUGAUGGGAUGGAAACUGCUGAUCUAGAGUAUCGGAGAGGAAAGUGGAAUUCCUAGUGUAGCGGUGAAAUGCGUAGAUAUUAGGAAGAACACCAGUGGCGAAGGCGACUUUCUGGACGAAAACUGACGCUGAGGCGCGAAAGCCAGGGGAGCGAACGGGAUUAGAUACCCCGGUAGUCCUGGCCGUAAACGAUGGGUACUAGGUGUAGGAGGUAUCGACCCCUUCUGUGCCGGAGUUAACGCAAUAAGUACCCCGCCUGGGGAGUACGACCGCAAGGUUGAAACUCAAAGGAAUUGACGGGGGCCCGCACAAGCGGUGGAGUAUGUGGUUUAAUUCGACGCAACGCGAAGAACCUUACCAGGUCU